This 829-nucleotide long non-coding RNA is filed under the name Betta splendens (Siamese fighting fish). RNAcentral describes it as "lncRNA (ENSBSLG00000014166.1)". Lineage: Eukaryota; Metazoa; Chordata; Actinopteri; Anabantiformes; Osphronemidae. The record is from RNAcentral.
GUGACUUUUAUGGAGAAACCUGGUAUAAAUAUAGGCGGAGUUGAAGCGUCAGAAUCAACCCGAACCCAGGCCUUCACGCUAGAUCCUCGUCGGACGUUGAAGCAGCGGUAUGAUUCGAGCUCCUGCAUCUCAAGCCGCCCGCGGGGCUCGUCUGUCAGAGAGCGCUAGACUCCAUCGCCUUGCGCUACAGCGUCGCCAGAGCCAACAAUUCCAACAGCCACAAGAACAACAACAACAAGAACCGCGGAGCCCUGAAGAGGAGUGUCUAAUCGGCGAGCUGGAACACGUGCUGUCCAGACAGCCGAGCGUGGAGCCUUCAACUUCCUAGAGCGGGGCCCCUGUGCUUCUAGCUGAGCAGCGCGUCCCGGAACAGGCGAGGCGAACCCCCGUGCGUCGUCCGGGGACUCCUCUUCCAAGGGGUCGUUCCGGUAAGUUUCUUUUUUUUUUUAAAGAGGGUUGUUUCUAUGGCCUGUGACUAACUCAAGACUGUUUUCAAUCAGAUUCCGCUCGUCCGGGACUACGAGGGAGGAGGCGGUUCCGAGGAUCGAGGCUGCUUUUCAAUAGGGCCGUUGAGCACAGAUUUGAGAGCGUCGUCUGGAAUGUUAUUGAGAGGAGUCUGAUGAUGAAUGAUUUGCUCCGCACGCUGAUGUGAAAACUGUGCUGGAAUGUCACUCAUUUGAUUAUUAAACAACAAGAUGGCUGAGGAAAACUCUGAUCUCAAUGAUUUACAAGCCGAAUUAGAGGAUGUGUUAACUUUGAUAUCCAAUGGCCAAAGAGGGUUUCGGGGUGUGAACAUAACCACCGAGCAUUUUGAUCGGUUGGAUAAUUU